Molecule: RNA transcript, 516 nt
Organism: Sapajus apella (tufted capuchin)
Lineage: Eukaryota; Metazoa; Chordata; Mammalia; Primates; Cebidae
Gene name: 60S ribosomal protein L3 pseudogene
Exons: 1
Source: RefSeq, a predicted model, not a curated record
ACCGGCUAGAUUUGAUGGCGUGAUGUCUUACAGGAAGUUCUCCGCUCCCAGACAUGGGUCCCUCGGCUUCCUGCCUCGGAAGUGCAGCAGCAGGCAUCAUGGGAAGGUGAAGAGCUUCCCCAAGGAUAACCCUUCCAAGCCGGUUCACCUCACAGCCUUCCUGGUAUACAAGGCUGGCAUGACCCAUAUCAUGCGGGAGGUCGAUAGGCCAGGAUCCAAGGUGAACAAGAAGGAGGUGGUGGAGGCUGUGACCAUUGUGGAGACGCCACCCAUGGUGGUUGUGGGCAUUGUGGGUUACGUGGAAACCCCUCGAGGCCUCCAGACCUUCAAGGCUGUCUUCGCUGAGCACAUCAGCGAUGAGUGCAAAAGGCAUUUCUAUAAGAACUGGCAUAAAUCUAAGAAGAAGGCCUUCACCAAGUACUGCAAGAAAUGGUAGGAUGAGGAUGGCAAGAAGCAGCUAGAGAAGGACUUCAGCAGCAUGAAGAAAUACUGCCAAGUCAUCCAUGUCAUAUGACA